This 77-nucleotide transfer RNA is filed under the name Holdemania massiliensis. RNAcentral describes it as "tRNA-Glu". It matches the Rfam family "tRNA". From Rfam's summary of the family: Transfer RNA (tRNA) molecules are approximately 80 nucleotides in length. Their secondary structure includes four short double-helical elements and three loops (D, anti-codon, and T loops). Lineage: Bacteria; Bacillati; Bacillota; Erysipelotrichia; Erysipelotrichales; Erysipelotrichaceae. The record is from RNAcentral.
GGCCCGUUGGUGAAGUGGCUUAACACAGCGCCCUUUCACGGCGUCAUUCACGAGUUCGAAUCUCGUACGGGUCACCA